CCCCCGAGGAGGACGAGGAGGAGGAGGAAUGAUUCUGCGGGCAGUCUGCCAGAUUGGCAAUUUGAAACGCACUGUCUGUGACGGCUGCUGAGGCUGCUGCGGGGGAGUGAAGGGCUGUCAUGACGAUGACCCCUGGAGUAGAAUCCUUCAAAAUAAUCCUAAAUGAAAAUUCCGCUGCUCGGCCCAAGAUGGCUCAGGGUUAAAGAGUACUGGCUGCUCUUCCAGAGGACCUGGGUUCAAUUUUCCACACCACCAUGGCAGUUUCCAGAUCUGUGACUUCCGGACAAUCCAAUACUCUUACCCAGACAUGCACGCAGGCAAAAAAAAAUUUAUUUAAAAAAGAAAGAAAGAAAAUCGUAGUCCGAAACCUUGCUUCCAUGGAACAAGACUUUGCAAUGUUCAACUUCACACAGAAUUAACUCAUUUAUCAUUCUGUUGCUUUAUUGUUCUUUCUUACUUGUAUAACAUGGGAAUCUUGAGAGUGGGAAUCUUGAUUUCUUUCUUUCUCGAUGUGCCCUGCCCCCAAAUCCAAGGGCAGAUCCCAGUUUACUAAAAACACUAAGGAAACAUUUAAAUAAAUUCAUGCUGCAUACCAA
This is a non-coding RNA of Rattus norvegicus (Norway rat), 596 nucleotides long. Lineage: Eukaryota; Metazoa; Chordata; Mammalia; Rodentia; Muridae. The record is from RefSeq and is a predicted model, not a curated record.